RNAcentral lists this ribosomal RNA (253 nucleotides) under uncultured bacterium. RNAcentral describes it as "partial 16S ribosomal RNA". It matches the Rfam family "Bacterial small subunit ribosomal RNA", at positions 524 to 776 of the family's 1533-position model. The record is from RNAcentral.
UACGAAGGGUGCAAGCGUUAAUCGGAAUUACUGGGCGUAAAGCGUGCGUAGGCGGUUUCUUAAGUCUGCUGUGAAAGCCCCGGGCUCAACCUGGGAAUGGCGGUGGAUACUGAGGAGCUGGAGUACGGUAGAGGAAGGUGGAAUUCCCGGUGUAGCGGUGAAAUGCGUAGAGAUCGGGAGGAACAUCAGUGGCGAAGGCGGCCUUCUGGACCAGUACUGACACUGAGGCACGAAAGCGUGGGGAGCAAACAGG